UUGCCUACGGGGCGCAGCAGUGAGGAAUAUUGGUCAAUGGGCGAGAGCCUGAGCCAGCCAAGUCGCGUGAGGGAGUACUGCCCUAUGGGUUGUAAACCUCUUUUGUCGGGGAGCAAAAGCCGGACGUGUCCGUCUGUGAGAGUACCCGAAGAAAAAGCAUCGGCUAACUCCGUGCCAGCAGCCGCGGUAAUACGGAGGAUGCGAGCGUUAUCCGGAUUUAUUGGGUUUAAAGGGUGCGCAGGCGGAUUUUUAAGUCAGCGGUCAAAUCGUGGGGUCCAACCCAAUCCAGCCGUUGACACUGGGGG
RNAcentral lists this ribosomal RNA (305 nucleotides) under uncultured bacterium. RNAcentral's name for it is "bacterial SSU rRNA". It matches the Rfam family "Bacterial small subunit ribosomal RNA", at positions 335 to 639 of the family's 1533-position model. The record is from RNAcentral.